RNAcentral lists this long non-coding RNA (1246 nucleotides) under Aedes aegypti (yellow fever mosquito). RNAcentral's name for it is "lncRNA AAEL026351". Lineage: Eukaryota; Metazoa; Arthropoda; Insecta; Diptera; Culicidae. The record is from RNAcentral.
CUUGCUCAUACUCAACCCGACUUGAGAAAAGUAAAGUCUCUGAGCAUUUACUCAAAACCGUAUGAAUAAAACGGUACUUUGCUCAGAGUAAGUUCGAAUUUCGAACUUAGCUUUUACUCUGUCAAAAUUUUUGUUUUUGUUUUGGCUAUCCGAUUUUUGCGCAGCAGCCAACAGUUCCUUUGAAGAUCUCAAGCAUAAAUUUUGCUUGAGAAAGAAAUCAACCGCCUGUGCCGGCUUCUGAUGAACUCACACACCCCGGCGAAGCUAUUCAAUCACGUCUGCCGGGAAUAAGUCAGUGAGCGCAAGAAACUGCAACCAUCGUGUGCCGCCUGCAAAGACUGCAUUUGAUACAUGAAGGAUGUUGCUGCAGUUUUUCUCAUGUGACGGCUGCCGGUUCGUCCACAAAGAUCUUACCAAUCAAACGGUGACCGUACCCUCCCAGAACAAGCUAAAUUCCACUGAACGAUAACGUCGAGCUUAGUUCCUGUAGGGUCGAUAUGUAACAGCACCAGGAUUAUCGUAAGAAUGAAGUUAAACCGGCAGCAUCUUCAUUAACAACCAACCAGCAUUAGCAGCAUCAGCAACAAAAGGAAAUUGCAUUGAAUCCAACACGUCUGUGUGUUAUAUGUUAAUUCAAGAUGCCACAGGUGACCGGAUUGGCACUAGUGAAUGAGAAACUAUAGGACUAGGGAAGUGCAUCGUAGUUAACGCAGGCAUUGGAAACAAGAUUGAAAUUUAAAGAAAUAAACGUCGUUACGAAAAUUAACCGUAUGUUCGUCAACAUUUUUCACCAGCUGAUAUCUAUUGGUUUUGCCCAAAACCCACCACAGAUUUUGUAAGAAUCUGCCAAAAUCUGCUUCUUCUUUCGUAACACGUAACAUCAUCCUACCAGUAAAGAUGAGUAAGAGCCUACUUUUGGUGAGGACUUUCUUUACCAACUGACCAAUUUAUCAUGUGUAUAUCGUGUGGCUGGUACGAAGAUACUCUAUGCCCUGGAAAGUAAAGAAAAAUGCCAACCCGGUAGGAUUUGAAACCACGACCCUCAUCUUGAAGUUGCUGAAUAGCUGCGAAUUUAAUGCUACGACUAUCUGGCCCUUAUCCGCCAAAAUCCGUAUGGAAUAUCCUUAAAAGACCUGAUCAGAUAAACUGCUAGUUAUCUCAAAAUAAUCUAAUUCAUAAUAUUUUGAAGAAUUCGUCUUAAAACAGAAAGAUCUUCAUAAAAAAUCCAAGAAAGGCCUUCCUUAGA